Molecule: long non-coding RNA, 1956 nt
Organism: Xiphophorus couchianus (Monterrey platyfish)
Lineage: Eukaryota; Metazoa; Chordata; Actinopteri; Cyprinodontiformes; Poeciliidae
Exons: 3
Source: RefSeq, a predicted model, not a curated record
UUAAGGUCGCCGCAAAGAGUCAAGAGGAACCGCUUGAAUUCUUAGGUACUUUCUUUGACAAACCUGUGGUUAUAAUGAGGUUUCUCACUUGCUCAUGAGGCAGUCCAUUCUUGACAACCUGAGUACUUUCUCUUUGUGGUCUAUGUAAUCGACAAAGGAGCCCAGGCGUGAUGCACGUAAGAGUGUUUGUUUAUGUUGGUGAGUCUGGAAGUCAUAUAGACCCUUCUGCCUCCUUCUUCUAAAGAUUGGUCAACUCUUACUAAAGAUGCCCCAGACUUCUAGCAGGGGGGAGUUUCCUUUUUUUUUUAACACACAAGGGAUGCACACCCAUGCACAUUUACUCCACCUCCCUCUCCACCCCUCCUUCCUUCCUCUUACUGCCGUUUUUUCUGAAUGGUCCUGUCCUCUUCCUAACCUCAACCGAGUGCUCUGUAAGGAGAGACUGCCCUCCGCGUUAGGCUCAGCCCCCCAACUGUGCAGCUAUAAGAGAGAGUGCUGUCGGACUUGUGUGUGUGAGAGCUGGACGGUGUCAGUCAGUCAGACAGUACUUUUCAUUUGGUUGCAGGGGUGGGAGGGUUUAUGGGAGAGAGGCAGGGUGAGAGGAAGAGAGAGGGAGAGCACUGUGAAACAUGUGAUAGUGCAACUCUGGCCGGGGCUUGUAGGGAGUUUAACGGCUGUGGUGUCUCCAGAGCUCUGGGAAAGCACCUUUAGCCCAGAGGGAGCCUCUCAAACUGUGAGAAAAAUUGUGUGCGCAAGACAGAGAGAGGCGGGGGGGGAUAGAAAGUGAGAGCCGGUUAUGCAGCGCACUGCCGCUGUCACUUUAAGUCUGUUACUGAUUACACUCAGAAGAAUGCAAGCGGGAGGAGGAAAUGACAGGAAAAAAGAGUGUGGAUGAAAUCUUUUAGGGAGUUACGAGUGAAGUUUCGCGCAACUUGCCGUCACAGUUACAGACAAUGACGUGGGUGAGAAGUUGUUACCCAAUAGUGGGUCUCUAUCUCGCUCGCUCUCCUUCGUCUGUGUGUGUGUGUGUGCUGGAGGCAAGCAGAGUUAAAGACGCAAGGAUCCCUUCACGAAGAGCGAAGAACACCCAGAGACACCGAGAUUGGAGGGAGGAUGAGGAGCUGGGGGGAGUUUGAGGGGGGUUCCCUCAUUCCAAACUUCAGCACCAGGAGGAAACUCCCACCCAGACGGGAGGCCAUUUCUGCAACAACCUUUCUGAAAAUAUAACCGAACAUCCAUGUGACCUGCAGCAGUUUCCAAGAAAGAUGGCGUCCGCAGAAGUGUGCUGACUCCCGUCUGUUGCCUCGCUGCUCUCUGGUGACUGUCAGCUGCUCAGUAGGCAGUGUAGAUCCUGUGUAGCAAUCAGCAGCUACAUCUGGCUACUGGGUCUCUGACAGCUCCGCCCGCUUCCCGGUCCUACCGUCGGCCCGUGGCGCGUUCCCGCUCCAUCACUGGUCAGGGGGCCCGUGCAGUGACAGGAUGUUCUCUGUGUCACAACUCCACCAGGGCCCGUUAUCACAUUUGUUCUUCUUCCUGUUUUGUCAAUCUCAUUUUGCAUCUGUGAGUUUCUGACUUCUGAUUGAAUUCCGUUUACUUUGAUUAAGCUACAAAUGGAUACAUUUCAUUAAAAUUGUGUUGAAGAAUGCCUAAAAAGCCACACUAGGGAGAUAUUUGCUUUGUCCUGAACCUGGCAUACAAUGUAGAUUCCUGUGUGGUUCAAUUCUACAGCUACAUUGUCUGCUGGGUUUCUGGCUAGCAAUAUAAGCUUCUGUGACAUGAAGGUCAUCUUUACUCCAUAAGGUAAGAAUUGAUCUACUGUGCUGCCAAAAAGUAUUUGCCCCCUUUAAGAUUUCUUCUGUUUUUGUUGUUUUGUGACAUUUAAAUGUUUCAGAUUGUCCAACAAAUGUUAAAGUGGCAGUGUUAUGUUUUUUUCCAGACAUAUAAUAGCAUAUCAUA